This 253-nucleotide ribosomal RNA is filed under the name uncultured bacterium. RNAcentral describes it as "partial 16S ribosomal RNA". It matches the Rfam family "Bacterial small subunit ribosomal RNA", at positions 524 to 776 of the family's 1533-position model. The record is from RNAcentral.
UACAGAGGUCUCAAGCGUUGUUCGGAUUCAUUGGGCGUAAAGGGUGCGUAGGCGGCGCGGUAAGUCGGGUGUGAAAUCUCGGAGCUUAACUCCGAAACUGCAUUUGAUACUGCCUUGCUUGAGGACUGGAGAGGAGACUGGAAUUCACGGUGUAGCAGUGAAAUGCGUAGAGAUCGUAAGGAAGACCAGUGGCGAAGGCGAGUUUCUGGACAGUUACUGACGCUGAGGCACGAAGGCCAGGGGAGCAAACGGG